UAACAGGUCAGAAUUGAACUGUUUUAUAGUGAAACAUAUAUAUCUAUUUCUAAUCAAUAUCUCCUCAGGAGGAAAGUAAGAAGUUUAUAUGUUAACAAACUUUGUACUUCAAAGACUUAUGACUCACACAUAUUCUGAGUAGAAGCUAUCAAUUUGGCCAAAACAUGACAUUCCACAGCUAUGAGAGAGUUAAUGAUGUACGGUCACUUGGUCAAAGGUUAGUAACUCGACCCCCCCCCCCCCCCUUCCAGAACACUUGUAAUAACUUUGCCAAACAAACCCCAAAUUGUAAACAUCGGAUAAGAACCCCAAACUCCCAAAACAAAAGACUUCCUGUCUCCCUCCCAAUAACAAGACCCUUUCCCAGAACAGGUUAUGUGUGGUAGCUAGAUCACUGUGAGAGUGUAGGUGUUAUAAAAGAAGGCAGAGGUAUUUGACAGAUUCACUCCUGUACUGCACCCCAUCCAUGGGGCAGGCAGGGAGGUCGACUCUGCAAGCUUUUGGUGUAACAUGUCAUUAUAUAGGUGUUGACAAAUUACAAUCAACAUGUAAGAAGCGGGAACGAGAGGAAACGGUCCUCUAGGCCAGAUUGCCAGGGUGAGUGGGUUAUCAUAUUCAAUGUAUAAACCACUAAUUCAAUGUAGUUUUAAUUGGGAAUUAAGUUUGAUUGUUUGACAAAGUUUACUUGAUGGUUGUAUUCAUUUAUUUGUUGGGAAAGUUAUCCAUAAAGAUGGAAGAACUGUAUUGAUUAGAUACUUGUUAUUUUCAUGCGAUAUUGAUUAAGUUUUAAUGAAUGUAAUAUAAACAACAUGUUUAUCAUUUAUUAUCAUGAGUCGGCUUGACGUCAUAUUGUUGGAA
RNAcentral lists this long non-coding RNA (858 nucleotides) under Strongylocentrotus purpuratus (purple sea urchin). RNAcentral describes it as "uncharacterized LOC115919837". The record is from RNAcentral. Lineage: Eukaryota; Metazoa; Echinodermata; Echinoidea; Camarodonta; Strongylocentrotidae.